UACGAAGGGGGCUAGCGUUGCUCGGAAUCACUGGGCGUAAAGCGCACGUAGGCGGACUCUUAAGUCGGUGGUGAAAUCCUGGAGCUCAACUCCAGAACUGCCUUCGAUACUGAGAGUCUCGAGUCCGAGAGAGGUGAGUGGAACUGCGAGUGUAGAGGUGAAAUUCGUAGAUAUUCGCAAGAACACCAGUGGCGAAGGCGGCUCACUGGCUCGGUACUGACGCUGAGGAGCGAAAGCCAGGGGAGCAAACGGG
RNAcentral lists this ribosomal RNA (253 nucleotides) under uncultured bacterium. RNAcentral describes it as "partial 16S ribosomal RNA". It matches the Rfam family "Bacterial small subunit ribosomal RNA", at positions 524 to 776 of the family's 1533-position model. The record is from RNAcentral.